RNAcentral lists this long non-coding RNA (800 nucleotides) under Zonotrichia albicollis (white-throated sparrow). RNAcentral describes it as "lncRNA (ENSZALG00000009470.1)". Lineage: Eukaryota; Metazoa; Chordata; Aves; Passeriformes; Passerellidae. The record is from RNAcentral.
UGGGGCGGUGUUUGCUUUGACUCCAGAACCUGUCUGGGGCUGAGAGCCCUGCCUGUGACCGGAGCUGCCUGUGCUGCUGCAGCCCCAGCGCUCGGGAUGGGGACAGCGGGCGGGACAAACCCCGUGCCCACCAUGGCCACCAGCCAAACACAGCGGGGACUGCGGGAACACUCCCGUAACCAAACACAAAACCGGCCGGGGACAGGAACGGGAUAUUGGGGAAUGCCCGGAUUUGCCUCAAUUAGCCAAACACCUGGGUGUUUGAUGGACUCGUGCUAAUUGCGUGAGUGGGGCGCUCGUUUCCCCGCCGAUGCACGGCUUGUACAACGGGUGAUGUUUAGCUGCUGGUGCACAUCACCUGCUGGAUGCUACCUGCCAAACCUGUCAUUAAGAUUUCAGGUGCUGCCUGGAGGCACUUGCAAAGGAAGAGAUCAGGAGAUAUCCUGCUGCUAUCACGGUCUAACAGAAGCACUCGAUGUUCUGAAUGCUGGAUGAUUGUGUUUCAGUCAUGCAUGACACAAAAUUCAUUGUGGAUUGCUUCUAAGACUGUUGUCAGUGUGGAAUUCCUUCUCAGAAUGGACCCAACCUGUAUUUGGAGAGAAUUAAAUGAAGUCAUUAUAGAUGGUGAAACAGACCUAGCAAUGAAAGUGUUAUGAGAACAUGACAAGAAAUUGCUCCUGUCACAUGAUGGUUGUGAAAGUUAAUGCACAGAAAGAAGAAAGUAAUGAAGGAGUAAAGGUUUAGCUUUGUUAUGCUGGCUAGAAAAUAAAUGCAAUAAGUUUGUAGUAUAAUUGGGAAUA